This 503-nucleotide ribosomal RNA is filed under the name uncultured bacterium. RNAcentral's name for it is "partial 16S ribosomal RNA". It matches the Rfam family "Bacterial small subunit ribosomal RNA", at positions 30 to 523 of the family's 1533-position model. The record is from RNAcentral.
AUUGAACGCUGGCGGCAGGCUUAACACAUGCAAGUCGAGCGGGGUGAUGGUGCUUGCACUAUCACUUAGCGGCGGACGGGUGAGUAAUGCUUAGGAAUCUGCCUAUUAGUGGGGGACAACAUCUCGAAAGGGAUGCUAAUACCGCAUACGUCCUACGGGAGAAAGCAGGGGAUCACUUGUGACCUUGCGCUAAUAGAUGAGCCUAAGUCGGAUUAGCUAGUUGGUGGGGUAAAGGCCUACCAAGGCGACGAUCUGUAGAGGGUCUGAGAGGAUGAUCCGCCACACUGGGACUGAGGCACGGCCCAGACUCCUACGGGAGGCAGCAGUGGGGAAUAUUGGACAAUGGGGGGAACCCUGAUCCAGCCAUGCCGCGUGUGUGAAGAAGGCCUUAUGGUUGUAAAGCACUUUAAGCGAGGAGGAGGCUCUUUUGGUUAAUACCCAAGAUGAGUGGACGUUACUCGCAGAGUAAGCACCGGCUAACUCUGUGCCAGCCGCCGCCGUAA